CCGAGAAUUUUUCACAAUGGGCGCAAGCCUGAUGGAGCGACGCCGCGUGGGGGAUGAAGGGUUUCGAUCCGUAAACCCCUGUCAUUUGCGAACAAACCUUGAUUGUGAAUAGCGAUCGAGCUGAUUGUAGCGGAAGAGGAAGGGGCGGCUAACUCUGUGCCAGCAGCCGCGGUAAUACAGAGGUCCCAAGCGUUGUUCGGAUUCACUGGGCGUAAAGGGUGCGUAGGUGGUCGGUGAAGUUCGGUGUGAAAGCUCGGAGCUCAACUCCGAAACGGCAUUGAAAACUCAUAGGCUGGAGGGUCGGAGGGGAGACUGGAAUUCUCGGUGUAGCAGUGAAAUGCGUAGAUAUCGAGAGGAACACCAGUGGCGAAGGCGAGUCUCUGGACGACUCCUGACACUGAGGCACGAAAGCCAGGGGAGCAAACAG
Molecule: ribosomal RNA, 427 nt
Filed under: uncultured bacterium
Lineage: Bacteria
Description: bacterial SSU rRNA
Rfam family: Bacterial small subunit ribosomal RNA
Source: RNAcentral